CAGGCCUAACACAUGCAAGUCGAGCGGCAGCACAGAGAAACUUGUUCCUCGGGUGGCGAGCGGCGGACGGGUGAGUAAUGCCUGGGAAAUUGCCCUGAUGUGGGGGAUAACCAUUGGAAACGAUGGCUAAUACCGCAUGAUAGCUUCGGCUCAAAGAGGGGGACCUUCGGGCCUCUCGCGUCAGGAUAUGCCCAGGUGGGAUUAGCUAGUUGGUGAGGUAAUGGCUCACCAAGGCGACGAUCCCUAGCUGGUCUGAGAGGAUGAUCAGCCACACUGGUACUGAGACACGGUCCAGACUCCUACGGGAGGCAGCAGUGGGGAAUAUUGGACAAUGGGCGCAAGCCUGAUCCAGCCAUGCCGCGUGUGUGAAGAAGGCCUUAGGGUUGUAAAGCACUUUCAGUCAGGAGGAAAGGGUGUGAGUUAAUACCUCACAUCUGUGACGUUACUGACAGAAGAAGCACCGGCUAACUCCGUGCCAGCAGCCGCGGUAAUACGGAGGGUGCGAGCGUUAAUCGGAAUUACUGGGCGUAAAGCGUACGCAGGCGGUUUGUUAAGCGAGAUGUGAAAGCCCCGGGCUCAACCUGGGAACUGCAUUUCGAACUGGCAAACUAGAGUGUGAUAGAGGGUGGUAGAAUUUCAGGUGUAGCGGUGAAAUGCGUAGAGAUCUGAAGGAAUACCAGUGGCGAAGGCGGCCCCCUGGACAGAUACUGACACUCAGAUGCGAAAGCGUGGGGAGCAAACAGGAUUAGAUACCCUGGUAGUCCACGCCGUAAACGAUGUCUACUUGGAGGUUGUGGCCUUGAGCCGUGGCUUUCGGAGCUAACGCGUUAAGUAGACCGCCUGGGGAGUACGGUCGCAAGAUUAAAACUCAAAUGAAUUGACGGGGGCCCGCACAAGCGGUGGAGCAUGUGGUUUAAUUCGAUGCAACGCGAAGAACCUUACCUGGUCUUGACAUCCACAGAACCUUGUAGAGAUACGAGGGUGCCUUCGGGAACUGUGAGACAGGUGCUGCAUGGCUGUCGUCAGCUCGUGUUGUGAAAUGUUGGGUUAAGUCCCGCAACGAGCGCAACCCUUAUCCUUUGUUGCCAGCGGUCCGGCCGGGAACUCAAAGGAGACUGCCAGUGAUAAACUGGAGGAAGGUGGGGACGACGUCAAGUCAUCAUGGCCCUUACGUGUAGGGCUACACACGUGCUACAAUGGCGCAUACAGAGGGCAGCGAACUUGCGAGAGUAAGCGAAUCCCAAAAAGUGCGUCGUAGUCCGGAUAGGAGUCUGCAACUCGACUCCAUGAAGUCGGAAUCGCUAGUAAUCGUGGAUCAGAAUGCCACGGUGAAUACGUUCCCGGGCCUUGUACACACCGCCCGU
Molecule: ribosomal RNA, 1364 nt
Filed under: uncultured bacterium
Lineage: Bacteria
Description: bacterial SSU rRNA
Rfam family: Bacterial small subunit ribosomal RNA
Source: RNAcentral